This 433-nucleotide ribosomal RNA is filed under the name uncultured bacterium. RNAcentral describes it as "partial 16S ribosomal RNA". It matches the Rfam family "Bacterial small subunit ribosomal RNA", at positions 29 to 507 of the family's 1533-position model. The record is from RNAcentral.
AACGAACGCUGGCGGCAUGCCUAACACAUGCAAGUCGAACGAGACCUUUGGGUCUAGUGGCGCACGGGUGCGUAACGCGUGGGAAUCUGCCCUUGGGUUCGGAAUAACAGUGAGAAAUUGCUGCUAAUACCGGAUGAUGUCUUCGGACCAAAGAUUUAUCGCCCAGGGAUGAGCCCGCGUAGGAUUAGCUAGUUGGUGUGGUAAUGGCCUACCAAGGCGACGAUCCUUAGCUGGUCUGAGAGGAUGAUCAGCCACACUGGGACUGAGACACGGCCCAGACUCCUACGGGAGGCAGCAGUGGGGAAUAUUGGACAAUGGGCGCAAGCCUGAUCCAGCAAUGCCGCGUGAGUGAUGAAGGCCUUAGGGUUGUAAAGCUCUUUUACCAGGGAUGAUAAUGACAGUACCUGGAGAAUAAGCUCCGGCUAACUCCGUG